UUGCGGCUAUGUACCCAUGAUGUGGCUCAGCCCCUCCUGCUCGAGGGUCGGACU
Molecule: ribosomal RNA, 54 nt
Filed under: Anaspides tasmaniae (Tasmanian mountain shrimp)
Lineage: Eukaryota; Metazoa; Arthropoda; Malacostraca; Anaspidacea; Anaspididae
Description: partial 5.8S ribosomal RNA
Source: RNAcentral